This is a long non-coding RNA of Rhodamnia argentea, 164 nucleotides long. RefSeq lists it as uncharacterized. The record is from RefSeq and is a predicted model, not a curated record. NCBI's taxonomy places the organism in Eukaryota, Viridiplantae, Streptophyta, Magnoliopsida, Myrtales, Myrtaceae. The transcript is spliced from 3 exons.
GUUAGAUCUUAGGGAUUUGCUCACUUGUUAAUAACUUGUAUAAAAGUCAGCAUGACUUGAUUUCAUAUGCAAGUCUUAAAUGUAAAUUAUGCUCAAGAGAAAGCAAAGCUGUGCUUGCUAUGAACCUUAUCCGAAGUUCAAAGAAUGUCUCAGAAAUUUAAACA